Molecule: transfer RNA, 76 nt
Filed under: Corynebacterium sp. HMSC070H05
Lineage: Bacteria; Bacillati; Actinomycetota; Actinomycetes; Mycobacteriales; Corynebacteriaceae
Also listed under: 2 other names
Description: tRNA-Thr
Rfam family: tRNA
About the family: Transfer RNA (tRNA) molecules are approximately 80 nucleotides in length. Their secondary structure includes four short double-helical elements and three loops (D, anti-codon, and T loops).
Source: RNAcentral
GCCACCUUAGCUCAGUCGGCAGAGCGUCUCACUCGUAAUGAGAAGGUCGCGAGUUCGAUUCUCGCAGGUGGCUCAA